GAGCAUGAUGUAGUAGAUGAUAGUAUGAUGACAUCUUAUAUGGAUUUUCUUUGCUCGGAUGUUCAUCUUGACCAGAUAAGGACUACACCUAAUAUUAGAGUCAAUAUUGCAUCUACUGGAACACAACUCGGCACACCUUAUGGGGAUUCAGGUCACGAGGGACCCUCUACAUCACAUCGAGAAGAGAGUCUGACUACUGUGACACCAUCUAUGGU
This is a long non-coding RNA of Cryptomeria japonica (Japanese cedar), 215 nucleotides long. RefSeq lists it as uncharacterized. The record is from RefSeq and is a predicted model, not a curated record. The transcript has 3 exons. Lineage: Eukaryota; Viridiplantae; Streptophyta; Pinopsida; Cupressales; Cupressaceae.